CAAACAUGAAACAAUGAAAGCCAAUUCUUUUUUCCAAACAUAUCAACUCCCUGAUCAAGAGACAAGACCAUUUUCAUAACUGGAACAAUGAAUCAGAGGAAGCUAUUGAAUCCGCCAUAACUGGAGCACAAUUCAAGCUCAGAUUCUUCACAAUUUACUGACUUUCAAUGGAAUUCGAAGCCAUAAAACACCUUCAAUCUCUUAUGCCAAGACAAUAGCUGAAACCCUCAAAUCUAAGCCAAUUUGUGCCACACAAAAUUGAUAGAAAUGGUUUAAGUACUUACAGCUUCGGUAACGCACUGGCUUCUUUAGACUCGCUCCACAGUCCUCGCGUUGAAACCAAACCACCGUCUUCCUCUUCCGAUUAUCGUCAUGAAUUUUGGGGGAAACAACAAUUUUCCAGAAGAAAUCAAUAUAUGGGAUCGGAGAGACUGAUCGACACUGAGAGAGAUUGAGAUUGAUAGAAGAACAAGAUAGAUCGAGGGUGAGAAGAGGUGACGAAGAGGAAGAAAGAACCUUUUUUUUGUUAUUUCAGAUUUUGCUUCAACAAAUAUUUUUAAUAUUUCUGUCAACC
This 574-nucleotide long non-coding RNA is filed under the name Eutrema salsugineum. RNAcentral's name for it is "long non-coding RNA (ESAL_LNC001360)". Lineage: Eukaryota; Viridiplantae; Streptophyta; Magnoliopsida; Brassicales; Brassicaceae. The record is from RNAcentral.